This 465-nucleotide ribosomal RNA is filed under the name uncultured bacterium. RNAcentral's name for it is "partial 16S ribosomal RNA". It matches the Rfam family "Bacterial small subunit ribosomal RNA", at positions 28 to 507 of the family's 1533-position model. The record is from RNAcentral.
GACGAACGCUGGCGGCGUGCUUAACACAUGCAAGUCGAACGGAAAGGCCCCCUUGUGGGGUACUCGAGUGGCGAACGGGUGAGUAACACGUGAGUAACCUACCCUUGACUUUGGGAUAACUUCAGGAAACUGGGGCUAAUACCGGAUAGGAGCUCCUGCUGCACGGUGGGGGGUGGAAAGUUUCGGCGGUUGGGGAUGGAUUCGCGGCUUAUCAGCUUGUUGGUGGGGUAGUGGCUCACCAAGGCUUAGACGGGUAGCCGGCCUGAGAGGGUGACCGGCGACAAUGGGACUGAGAGACGGACCAGACUCGUACGGGAGGCAGCGGUGGGGAAUAUGGCACAAUGGGAGGAAGCCUGAUGCGGCGACGCCGCGUGCGGGAUGACGGCCUUCGGGUUGUAAACCGCUUUCGCCUGUGACGAAGCGUGAGUGACGGUAAUGGGUAAAGAAGCACCGGCUAACUACGUG